AAUCAACGCUGGCGGCGUGCCUCAGACAUGCAAGUCGAACGAUUAAAGCUCUCUUCGGAGAGUGUAUAGAGUGGCGCACGGGUGAGUAACACGUAAGUAAUCUACCCUCGAGUGGGGAAUAACAACCGGAAACGGUUGCUAAUACCGCAUAAUGCAGCGGCACCGCAAGGUGACAGUUGUUAAAGAUUUAUCGCUUGAGGAGGAGCUUGCGGCAGAUUAGCUAGUUGGUGAGGUAAAGGCUCACCAAGGCGACGAUCUGUAGCGGGUCUGAGAGGAUGAUCCGCCACACUGGAACUGAGACACGGUCCAGACUCCUACGGGAGGCAGCAGUGGGGAAUUUUGGACAAUGGGCGCAAGCCUGAUCCAGCCAUGCCGCGUGAGUGAAGAAGGCCUGGUGUAAGAGUCUUCUANCGGAGAAACGACA
This 424-nucleotide ribosomal RNA is filed under the name uncultured bacterium. RNAcentral describes it as "bacterial SSU rRNA". It matches the Rfam family "Bacterial small subunit ribosomal RNA", at positions 32 to 452 of the family's 1533-position model. The record is from RNAcentral.